This 254-nucleotide ribosomal RNA is filed under the name uncultured bacterium. RNAcentral's name for it is "partial 16S ribosomal RNA". It matches the Rfam family "Bacterial small subunit ribosomal RNA", at positions 334 to 602 of the family's 1533-position model. The record is from RNAcentral.
GUAUCCUACGGGGCGCAGCAGUGGGGAAUAUUGCACAAUGGGCGAAAGCCUGAUGCAGCAACGCCGCGUGAAGGAAGAAGGGUUUCGGCUCGUAAACUUCUAUCAACAGGGACGAAAGAAAUGACGGUACCUGAAUAAGAAGCCCCGGCUAACUACGGGCCAGCAGCCGCGGUAAUACGUAGGGGGCAAGCGUUAUCCGGAAUUACUUGGUGUCAAGGGGGAGAAGGCGGCAUGGUAAGCCAGAUGUGAAAGCC